GCCGACGUAGCUCAGUUGGUAGAGCACCGCUCUGGUAAUGCGGAGGUCCGCGGUUCGAUCCCGCGCGUCGGCUCUA
RNAcentral lists this transfer RNA (76 nucleotides) under Candidatus Nealsoniibacteriota bacterium. RNAcentral's name for it is "Candidatus Nealsonbacteria bacterium tRNA-Thr". It matches the Rfam family "tRNA". From Rfam's summary of the family: Transfer RNA (tRNA) molecules are approximately 80 nucleotides in length. Lineage: Bacteria; Candidatus Nealsoniibacteriota. The record is from RNAcentral.